RNAcentral lists this long non-coding RNA (587 nucleotides) under Bos taurus (domestic cattle). RNAcentral's name for it is "long non-coding RNA NONBTAT012169". The record is from RNAcentral. Lineage: Eukaryota; Metazoa; Chordata; Mammalia; Artiodactyla; Bovidae.
AUUUGGAGCUGUUGAUAAUUUUUAUAGACACUGUAGUCUUUUCAACAUUAUUUUAAGAAAGACUUUAAAUUUGAAAAGAUGUACUGCAAUGGACAACAGUAUUAGAAAUCUGUUCUUUAGAUCAGUAACAAAAAUGAUAUUUGCCUAAAUUUGAAUUCUGAAAGCUUUUCUUUGGAAUAUUUAUAGUUUGGCUUCAUUUGUUUUGAUAAAUCAUAAUUUAUGUGUAGCUUUUUAUACGUGGUUACUCUUUUCUCCACAGUGUAUUCUUGGAAAUGGUCCAUGUGAAUUAUAAAACAAGUUAUAUUUUUCUCAUAGAAAAACUUUCUGGAAAAUACUUUCCUGAUCCAAAGACAUGGCAUUAAAUGUUAUCAUAGAUGCACACUUUAUUAGUGCAUCCCAACUCAAAGGAUUAUCACCAUCCUCAGAAAAACUUCCUGCAUUUUCCUAAGAGUUUAUUGUCCUGUAGUGUGCUCCCUCUUAAAUCCCAGCUCUGAGAAAGAAAUUGUAUUAGUUAUCUUUCUUGGAAGCUCUCUCACAGCAGGAAGUGCUGAGUUUCAGAGUAGGGGAAAGCAAAUGGAUAUUUGCUG